AGAGUUUGAUCAUGGCUCAGGAUGAACGCUAGCGGCAGGCCUAAUACAUGCAAGUCGGACGGGAUUGGAGAGCUUGCUUUCCAUGAGAGUGGCGCACGGGUGCGUAACACGUAUGUAACCUACCUUUGUCAGGGGGAUAGCCUCUCGAAAGAGAGAUUAAGCCCGCAUAACAUUACACCACGGCAUCGUGGAAUAAUCAA
RNAcentral lists this ribosomal RNA (200 nucleotides) under uncultured bacterium. RNAcentral's name for it is "partial 16S ribosomal RNA". It matches the Rfam family "Bacterial small subunit ribosomal RNA", at positions 8 to 204 of the family's 1533-position model. The record is from RNAcentral.